This 1456-nucleotide ribosomal RNA is filed under the name Hierodulella celebensis. RNAcentral describes it as "partial 28S ribosomal RNA". It matches the Rfam family "Eukaryotic large subunit ribosomal RNA", at positions 536 to 1883 of the family's 3401-position model. The record is from RNAcentral. Lineage: Eukaryota; Metazoa; Arthropoda; Insecta; Mantodea; Mantidae.
GCNNNNNNNNNNNNNGUNCCNNNCCNNNNGCNNGCNNNNNGGUCUCCNGANUNCUNGNNNNNCUUUGGCCCUUUCUCCCGUCAGCGGCGCUAUUGCUUCGGAUGCCUUCCCGAYCCGUCUUGAAACACGGACCAAGGAGUCYAACAUGUGCGCRAGUCACUGGGAACCACUAAACCCAGAGGCGCAAUGAAAGUGGGGCGGCCUCGUGCCGCCAAGGGAGGAUGGCUCUCCUCACCGGGGGAGCCCGCACUCCCGGGGCGCCCCGGCUUCGGCCGUGGGCGCACUCUGAGCGUACACGUUGGGACCCGAAAGAUGGUGAACUAUGCCUGGUCAGGACGAAGUCAGGGGAAACCCUGAUGGAGGUCCGCAGCGAUUCUGACGUGCAAAUCGAUCGUCAGAGCUGGGUAUAGGGGCGAAAGACUAAUCGAACCAUCUAGUAGCUGGUUCCCUCCGAAGUUUCCCUCAGGAUAGCUGGCGCCCGCUUUGAACGAGACGAGUCUCAUCCGGUAAAGCGAAUGAUUAGAGGCCUUGGGGCCGAAACGACCUCAACCUAUUCUCAAACUUUAAAUGGGUGAGAACUCCGGCUUGCUCGAGUGAAGCCGCGAGGUGGAUCAGGGUGCCAAGUGGGCCAUUUUUGGUAAGCAGAACUGGCGCUGUGGGAUGAACCAAACGCCGGGUUAAGGCGCCUAAACCGGAGMUCAUGGGAGACCAUGAAAGGSGUUGGUUGCUUAAGACAGCAGGACGGUGGCCAUGGAAGUCGGAAGCCGCUAAGGAGUGUGUAACAACUCACCUGCCGAAGCAACURGCCCUGAAAAUGGAUGGCGCUAAAGCUCCGUGCCUAUACCCGGCCGCCGGUAGGCAUAGGCGUGAGCCCUCRCGGGCGAGCGCGCGAAGCCCCGGCGAGUAGGAGGGCGCGGCGGUGUGCGCGGAAGGGUCUGGGCGCGAGCCUGCCUGGAGCCGCCGCCGGUGCAGAUCUUGGUGGUAGUAGCAAAUACUCAAGCGAGGGCCUUGAGGGCUGAUGUGGAGAAGGGUUUCGUGUGAACAGCCGUUGCACACGAGUCAGUCGAUCCUAAGCCCUAGGAGAAAUCCGAUGUCGAUGUGGGGGGCUCGUCCCAACGUGUUCCCCCUCGAUGGGCGAAAGGGAAUCCGGUUCCUAUUCCGGAACCCGGCAGCGGAACCGAAUYYACGGGCCCUCGUCAGAGAAGCUCGUCGGGGUAACCCAAAGGGACCCGGAGACGCCGUCGGGASACCCGGGCAGAGUUUUCUGUUCUGCAUAAGCGUUCGAGUUCCCUGGAAUCCUCUAGCAGGGAGAUAGGGUUUGGAACGCGAAGAGCACCGCAGUUGCGGCGGUGUCCGGGUCGUCCCCUCGGACCUUGAAAAUCCGGGAGAGGGUCACGCGGAGGUGUCGCGCCGGCUCGUACCCAUAUCCGCAGCAGGUCUCCAAGGUGAAGAGCCU